UACGGAGGGUGCAAGCGUUAUCCGGAUUCACUGGGUUUAAAGGGUGCGUAGGCGGGUAGGUAAGUCUGUGGUGAAAUCCCCAAGCUUAACUUGGGAACUGCCAUGGAUACUAUUUAUCUUGAAUAUUGUGGAGGUGAGCGGAAUAUGUCAUGUAGCGGUGAAAUGCUUAGAUAUGACAUAGAACACCAAUUGCGAAGGCAGCCUGCUACACAAUUAUUGACGCUGAGGCACGAAAGCGUGGGGAUCAAACAGG
Molecule: ribosomal RNA, 253 nt
Filed under: uncultured bacterium
Lineage: Bacteria
Description: partial 16S ribosomal RNA
Rfam family: Bacterial small subunit ribosomal RNA
Source: RNAcentral